AGAGAGAGACAUGCGCGCAUAUCAAUAAGCGGAGGAAAAGAAACUAACAAGGAUUCCCUUAGUAACGGCGAGUGAAGCGGGAAGAGCUCAAAUUUGAAAUCUUCAAGGUUCUACCUUGACGAAUUGUAGUUUAUAGAAGUGUUUUCUGUUAGUGGAGUGGCAAAAGUUCUUUGGAAUAGGACAUCAUAGAGGGUGAGAAUCCCGUAUUUGGUCAUUCCUCCUAGCGUUGUGAUACACUUUCAACGAGUCGGAUUGUUUGGGAAUGCAGUCCAAAAUGGGUGGUAAAUUUCAUCUAAAGCUAAAUAUUGGCGAGAGACCGAUAGCGAACAAGUACCGUGAGGGAAAGAUGAAAAGAACUUUGAAAAGAGAGUUAAACAGUACGUGAAAUUGUCAAAAGGGAAGCGUUUGACACCAGUGUUGUUUUUCCGAAAAUCAAUUACGAAUGUUUUGUUUUUGAGGAGUUAUGACUUCAUCGGCUUGCUCCUUUCUUUACGAAACUUUCUUAAUGCACUUUUCGGUUAACAAGUCAACAUCAAUUCCUUUUGUUGUAAAAGGGUAUGAGGAAGGUGGCUUUCUUUUCGGAGAAAGUGUUUAUAGCCUUGUACCUCUGCAAUCGGAGAGAUUGAGGUCUGCAGCGUAGAUCCUUCGGGGUUAGAUGCAUUUGUGCUAAGUUAUAGCUUUUCAUAGACAACUUGUUGACUAUGUUUAGUCUUGUAGCUUACUCGCUUAUGCUAUUUUACCUACGCUUAGGAUGUUGAUAGUCACAGCGUGUAC
Molecule: ribosomal RNA, 774 nt
Filed under: uncultured Neocallimastigales
Lineage: Eukaryota; Fungi; Neocallimastigomycota; Neocallimastigomycetes; Neocallimastigales
Description: partial large subunit ribosomal RNA
Rfam family: Eukaryotic large subunit ribosomal RNA
Source: RNAcentral